Molecule: transfer RNA, 73 nt
Filed under: Actinomycetota bacterium
Lineage: Bacteria; Bacillati; Actinomycetota
Description: tRNA-Thr
Rfam family: tRNA
About the family: Transfer RNA (tRNA) molecules are approximately 80 nucleotides in length.
Source: RNAcentral
GCUGGAGUAGCUCAGUCGGUAGAGCAACGCCAUGGUAAGGCGUAGGUCCGGGGUUCGAAUCCCCGCUCCAGCU